GGGGAGCCCAGGACUCUGUAUACACAUUCAGAAACAAGGUCAAAGAGAGCGUGGAGCAAUCAUCCAAUGAAUCCAAAUUCCACAUCAGCCCAGGAAAGGGCCCUUGUGAAUUGAUGAAUAUGAAGACACUAAGAAAGCAGAAAUAGAACUGAGAAGAAUGAAAUAACUGUCUCUACCUUUCUCGAAUUGUCUAAUAUGGAAAGAAUGAAAGACAGCUAAUAAGCAACUCUCUGCAAGAAGACAUAUGGCUUAGGUUCUGCUGAGCUAUUGGUGAUUUGAUUCCAUGCAUAUGUAUUCACUACUGAAUCUACUUGGAGAGAGUCAAACACAGAAUCCCUUUGAAUUUAAUGGCCAUUCCAGGUGAUUUGAACAGCCAAAUAAGAAACAGGUCCUCUUCAAUGUACAAUCUGCCAAGUAUGAAGUCUGAAUGACCAUCAUUAUUAUGUAUUUAAUGUGCAUAGAAAAUCUAUCUGCAACCUUCCAGAGUGUACCAGAAGUUUGGAAUGUACAUUAUUAUUGGCUCCAUCUCAAACCACUCAUAAAUCAAAGAAAAUAGCAGUUCCAGAGGAAUCAUCAUAGAGGCUUCUAGGCCCCCAUGCUGUGUGAACCUGGUGAGAAAGGGAAGUCUGCUCUCACUGGACACUGGAACUGUUUGUCUCUGUCUCUGCUGUACUUUCCCUGCCUCUACCUCACUUAGUAAAGAAAUCAUCUUUGCUUGAUAACUAAAACAACCAAUAAGGCUGAGAAAGGGGAAAACCCACAUCUGGAUUUAAAUACAAGGUAUUGGGCCAGCUGCUGGGGAUUAAACUUUGAACAAAACAGAUAGAAUCUAUGUCCUCAUGGGAGUGGCUAAUGGGAGAGUCGGAACAAAAAAAUAGCCAAGGAUAAUCCAGCAAAUGAUUUGGUGAAUGCUAUCAAAGAGAGAAAUACACAUGCUCUGGGAACACCAAACAGAGUCUUGCUCUUGUUGCCCAGGCUGGAGUAUGAUGGUGCGAUCUCAGUUCACUGCAACCCCUGCCUCCCAGGUUCAAGUGAUUCUCCUACCUCAGCCUCCUGAGUAGCAGGGAUUAUAGGUACAAGCCACCACACCCGGCUAAUUUUUAUAUUUUUAGUAGAGACGGGGUUUCACCACAUUGGCCAGGCUGGUCUCGAACUCCUGACCUCAGGUAAUCUGCCCCUCGGCCUCCCAAAAUGCUGGGAUUAACAGGCAUGAGCCACAGCACCUGGCUGACUUUGCCUGUUUUAUAAUUUCACACAAUAAAAUCAUGCACUGUGCAUUUCUUUGUAUUGUCUCCUUUCACUCAGCAUAAUGUCUGUGUGAUUCAACCCUGUGGUGAUGUGUCAUUUUUUUAAAAAAAAUUAAGAUAUUUUAUUAUAUGAACAUACCAUAAUUUGUUUAUUCAUUUGGUGAACAUUGUGUUGAUGCCAGGUUUGGG
RNAcentral lists this long non-coding RNA (1436 nucleotides) under Homo sapiens (human). Its description in RNAcentral is "PREDICTED lncRNA (TCONS_00232911)". The record is from RNAcentral. Lineage: Eukaryota; Metazoa; Chordata; Mammalia; Primates; Hominidae.